AUGACCCUCCCCUAUUUUCCUCCGGUGGUCCAUUUCAUAAAUACCGAACGGUCCCUUAGGUAGAGAAAGUCUUUGUGGCUCCACCCCCUGCAUUUAAAAUCAAGAACUGUCUGUCUAGCUAAAACUCCACACACUAUUGAUUUACAGUUUUAUUUUAUUAUAUUGUAAUCAAACCUUACUUGGUCAUGCUGAGAUUUAGCUGAGCUAAUGCCCUGCUGUUCAAACAUCCAGACUGUUAAAUGUCAUACCACUAAAUGUGUCUGAUGCCUGUUUGCUUUUUGACCACUUUAUAUGCAUGUGUACAUACCCAGUAUUUUAAAGCUUUAACUGUAAAUAUAUACUGUAAAUAUAUAUACAGUAAUACUUUGUGUGUCAUAUUUUGUGAAUGGGUGGUUGAUCAUCAUUCUCCAUUAUUCUACACUACUUAUAUUUAUUCCCAUAAUAUCCAUUUGUAGUUAGGUUCAAGUUCAUACAGUGUACUUACCAAUACCAAUACCAAUAUAGCCCUUCAACAGAACAAAACUUAAAAAAAUAAGUUAAUCUGACUUUCCAUCAAAAUACCAAAUCCCACCCAACCUUAACCUUACUGAUGUGUGGGUAAGUGUUGAGUCCUUGAUGUUCUUACCCUUUGGACAAACCUUUUACCUUUUCAUGAUUAUAUCUGAAAUAGUUACAGUGUAUAUCUGUGCUUUGUGUCUAUCUAACAGUGUCAGUCUCUUACAGAUCGUCAGUAGCCUUCUGCCACAGUGCCGUUCUUCGUAUCCUCCCCACAGCUGAGGGUUUGAGCCUCCUCAGCUCCUUUCACAGCAGCAGUGUGUCAACCCUCUUGGAUCCCUGACCCUCGGGCUGCCCACCGUGAGUGCCUCCUGUCAUGCUUCCUCAGUUGCAUCUGUGUGGAACACAACACCUGACCCCUGUCCUGUGACACUGUUGACCCAGAAGACUUGCCCAACAUUCUGUUCAGGUGGACAUGGUCAAAUGUUCCAUGAUGCCUCUACAGGGAGUGGCUGGCUCACACACAUUUACAUUGCUUUGGAGAAGCAGGAAUGAUGCUAUGACACUUGCUACCGCCGGUAGAGCCCCAUGAGCCUACUGACACAGCCAUUGCCAGAACUGCAUUACCUGUCUAUCCACAUAUUGACCUAUUCAGUUUGGGUGUUUGGAAUAUUAAAAAUCUAAUUAAUCAAAUCAUUUUCAGUAUGACCCACAGUCAUCACACACUUUACUGUGUGUCAGUGUAAACAUUUGUGUGUACCACAAACAGUAUGGCACCAUACAAGUAUGUUAACCAUUUUUGUGCAUUUCAUAAAGCAUGUGCAACUGUAGAGGUUUUAGCUUUCAAUGCUUCAGAAAUUGUUUCUUUUGAACCCAUAUGUAAAGCACUACCUGGCAUUUUCCAUGUUUUUCCUUUUCCAUGUAUUAUUUCUACCCAUACUGUAAGGCUGCUUCGACAUUAAAAAAUAAGGCAAAAACCUGUAGGAUAAGCACAAACUGAAGCAAUGCAUUCCAAAAAUGUGUGUGUGACUGUUAGCAUCAUAUCAAAAGCUGCAAAAAGCUGACAGUACAUCAGUAUUCAACAUCCCCUCUUUGUGAAGUUGACAGUGCAUGGAUGUAACUUCAGAGUGAUAACAGUCAAGCUCCUCUGUGCUCUUUCAAAGUGAAAAGGGACUCUGUUAUCAAUCUACACAUGCUGAUUCACUUGCAGCACUUACUCAACUGCCAGAAGCUGAAGCCAAAAGGGAUGUAACUGGAUGAGCUGGAGUCUGGGGAGAAAAAGAAAUGUAUAUCAUUUGUGAUUGCAUCAUAGAACUUUUCUUGACUCCAGGCUCUUAGAAAUCUAACCCGAUAGGCUUGUUUUGCAAGGUAGAGGUUUUAGGUUCUGAUUAGACUCUGGCAUAAAGUUGAUGAUGAGUGGACAUAAUAAGAGGGUUUAUUCACUUACACAGAGGGUACAGAUAGAAGCUUUUACAGCCUGAAUUCUGCAAUACUUAAGUCACAAAGAAGAGUAACAUUUGAUUGGCAGGAUGUUAUUUACUUGAAACAAAAUGGACCUGUGAAUAAGAGAUUAAUCAGCAUUACAAAGCAAUAUUGUUGUAAUAUGUUUGUUUCAGAUAUUGCCCACUACAGUAAAAGCCUUCUUUUUCAAAUCUGAAAUAAACUACUCGUACUCGCAUUUGCUCUCUCUUUUCUACCUGUUCUGUAUCCAAAGACUGUAGGAAAAUAUGGGUGUUAGUGAUAUCAUCCAUAUGUUUUUGAAUAAAUAUUAAAAGUCUG
Molecule: long non-coding RNA, 2274 nt
Organism: Sander lucioperca (pikeperch)
Lineage: Eukaryota; Metazoa; Chordata; Actinopteri; Perciformes; Percidae
Exons: 2
Source: RefSeq, a predicted model, not a curated record